Non-coding RNA from Salmo salar (Atlantic salmon), 2173 nucleotides. NCBI's taxonomy places the organism in Eukaryota, Metazoa, Chordata, Actinopteri, Salmoniformes, Salmonidae. The record is from the annotation of a RefSeq genome assembly.
GGAACUAAUGGGACUCUGUGUGUGGUCUAGGGGUUUUGGUGAUGAGUUAGUUAGUUGAUUAUGGAUUCAGUACAUUAGAUUAGUUCAUACUAGUGUUACCUCCAGUCAAUGCUUUUUGAUGUUAAGCCUGUACACUGUGCCAACUAUGAGGCACAUUUUGGAUCAGGCACCAAAUUAACAGUUCUCGAUCCAAACAUCAAAGUCACUGAACCCACAGUGGAAGUCCUAGCACCCUCGGCAAAGGAGUGUAAAGAUAGAAACAAGAAGAAGAAGAAGACCCUGGUGUGUGUAGCCACCCGCUUCUACCCCGACCAUGUCACGGUCUUCUGGCAAGUCAACAAUGUCAACAGAACUGAAGGCGCCGGGACCGACAACAAGGCCUUGUGGGAUAAAGAUAGUUUAUACAGUAUCACCAGCAGACUGAGAGUCCCAGCCAAAGACUGGCACAACCCAGACAACAAAUUCACCUGCAUUGUCAGCUUUUACAAUGGGAAUGGAGAUAUAAAUGUGAAUGACACCAUUAGUGGAGAUCUCCAAGGUCAAAGUGGGGGAGAGAUAACGACAGAUUACUAUGUGAAGAGCACCCAGACUGCCAAGCUGGCCUACAGCAUCUUCAUCGCUAAGAGUACCUUCUACGGCCUGGUCGUCAUGGUUAUGAUUUGGAAGUUCCAGGGCUCCUCAGAGAAACAGAUUUAACGGAAUACAAGUGGCCCAAGGAGGAUGUCCUGCACGGGUGUUGAUUCUUCCAUGUGAUCAAGGACGGACCGACAAAAGGGCAAUUCUGGCAAAUGCCAGAUGGACUGAUUCAUCUUUAGCCCAGUGGGCUUAUCUAAAUUGGCUUUUUUUUUUGCAAAAUAAUAAUAAUUUGACUAGUAAAGAGGGCUUUAAGGAAAAACAUGGGCAGUCCUCCCCGCACAGCCAGAAUAGGACUGGCCACCCCUCAUAGCCUGGUUCCUCUCUAGGUUUCUUCCUAGGUUUUGGCCUUUCUAGGGAGUUUUUCCUAGCCACCGUGCUUCUACACCUGCAUUGGUUGCUGUUUGGGGUUUUAGGCUGGGUUUCUGUACAGCACUUUGAGAUAUCAGCUGAUGUAAGAAGGGCAAUAUAAAUACAUUUGAUUUGAUUUGUGUGUUAGAAAUGCCUGGGCCGGUUUCUGAUCCCAGUUUGCCCCUGCAUGUAAUUGUAUUGUCCAUUGUGCUUAUUGUGUCCAUUAUCUCUUUAUUACCCUGUCUAUGUGAAGAUGUGCAUUUUAAGAAUCUCCUAUGAACAUGAACUUGCAAUUUAAAUGUAUAUUUGAAUAAAUUCAGCCAAAACAAUCUUUCCAUUAACUUACAAAACCAAUGUCUGUUUGUUUUUCCAGUAAUUACAGUAUAGUAUGUAUGAAUACAUUCUGCUUUCCAAUUUCUAAAUGUUAAUUUGUGAAUAAUAAACUGUAUAUAAUUAGGGACAGAUCGAAAUGUACCUUUCCACAGUUAAAAAUAUUUUCACGACCCUCCCCCUCAUAUAAUUAACUCAAUAUAUUGUUUACAACCACAAAUAACUAUAACUGUUGCGGCCCUGUUUUUAUAAACGUGGAUAUCGACUUCGCCACUUCAGCAUGCUUUUCUGCCACAGUUGAUGCCACACAGGGCUUUGGGCCAGAAGGUUGAGGGUUCACCGACCACCACAGACGAGCUCACUCUCCCUGCCUGUUUCAUCACAAUACGCAGGGCUUUGGGCCAGAAGGUUGAGGGGUCACCGACCACCACAGACGAGCUCACUCUCCCUGCCUGUUUCAUCACAUUACGAUCAGAGAUGGAGGCAGAGCAUGAUCAGCUAGGGGGAAAUCAGAUUUUCAACAUUUUGAUGCCAUAUUUAUAUCAAAUAUAUGCAACACAUUUUCCACCAACAGGUUUAACAACCAAUAAAGAACUUCUGGCACUUCGAUAUCAUGGUUUGUGUUUUGAACAAACAGGAAAUACAUCCCUCCCUACCUUGUAGACUUACCCAGUAUCGGAGGCUUGGCUUGACAAUCUCCUAGUGUCAUUAAACUUUCUGGUGUUUUGUAACAAUGUCUCUUUUCAUUCAUCAAUUGGCCACUGCACAGUUUGGAUUGAUUGAUUUGAAUUGUAUGUAAAUAAAAUACACUUAUACACAUUAUUUGUGACUGGGAUUGCACAAUAAAGUCUGGGACUUA